GAAUUCGCCCUUAGAGUUUGAUCCUGGCUCAGGACGAACGCUGGCGGCGUGCCUAACCCAUGCAAGUCGAACGAGCAGAGAUCUUCGGAUCGAAGCGAGUGGCGGACGGGUGAGUAACGCGUGAACAACCAACCCUGCACAGGGGGACAACAGCUGGAAACGGCUGCUAAUACCGCAUAAGACCACAAUGUCGCAUGACGAAGGGGUCAAAGGAGAAAUCCGGUGCAGGACGGGUUCGCGUCCCAUUAGCCAGUUGGCGGUGUAACGGACCACCAAAGCAACGAUGGGUAGCCGAGCUGAGAGGCUGAACGGCCACACUGGGACUGAGAUACGGCCCAAACUCCUACGGGAGGCAGCAGUGGGGGAUAUUGCACAAUGGGGGAAACCCUGAUGCAGCGACGCCGCGUGAGUGAUGAAGUAUUUCGGUAUGUAAAGCUCUAUCAGCAGGGAAGAAAAUGACGGUACCUGACUAAGAAGCCCCGGCUAACUACGUGCCAGCAGCCGCGGUAAUACGUAGGGGGCAAGCGUUAUCCGGAUUUACUGGGUGUAAAGGGAGCGUAGACGGCAAGGUAAGUCUGAUGUGAAAGCUCGGGGCUCAACCCCGGAACUGCAUUGGAAACUAUUUUGCUAGAGUGUCGGAGAGGUAAGUGGAAUUCCUAGUGUAGCGGUGAAAUGCGUAGAUAUUAGGAGGAACACCAGUGGCGAAGGCGGCUUUCUGGACAGUAACUGACGCUGAGGCGCGAAAGCGUGGGGAGCAAACAGGAUUAGAUACCCUGGUAGUCCACGCUGUAAACGAUGAAUACUAGGUGUAGGGGUUUUUAUAACUUCUGUGCCGCAGCAAACGCAAUAAGUAUUCCACCUGGGGAGUACGACCGCAAGGUUGAAACUCAAAGGAAUUGACGGGGACCCGCACAAGCAGUGGAGUAUGUGGUUUAAUUUGAAGCAACGCGAAAAACCUUACCAAGGCUUGACAUAGCAGUGAAUAAUGUGGAAACACAUUAGCUCUUCGGAGCACUGUUACAGGUGGUGCAUGGUUGUUGUCAGCUCGUGUCGUGAGAUGUUGGGUUAAGUCCCGCAACGAGCGCAACCCUUGCCAUUAGUUGCCAGCAUUCAGUUGGGCACUCUAGUGGGACUGCCGGUGAGAAAUCGGAGGAAGGUGGGGAGGACGUCAAAUCAUCAUGCCCCUUAUGUCUUGGGCUACACACGUACUACAAUGGCUAUUACAACAGGCAGCUAAGGCGCAAGCCGGAGCAAAUCCCCAAAGAUAGUCCCAGUUCGGAUUGUGGGCUGCAACCCGCCCACAUGAAGUCGGAAUUGCUAGUAAUUGCAGGUCAGCAUACUGCAGUGAAUACGUUCCCGGGUCUUGUACACACCGCCCGUCA
This 1382-nucleotide ribosomal RNA is filed under the name uncultured bacterium. RNAcentral describes it as "partial 16S ribosomal RNA". It matches the Rfam family "Bacterial small subunit ribosomal RNA". The record is from RNAcentral.